AAGAAGAAGUCUAUGGAGGGACGAUCUUCAAAAGUUUACUAUACCAUCAACAUGAACCUAGACAUGUCUGAGAAAUCAAUGGAGAUAUUUUCUCUGGCCUGCAUUCUUCCCUUUAAGUACCCUGAAGUUCUGCCUGAAAUUACUGCCAGAUCAGUAUUAUUAAGUAGAACCCAGCAGACCCAGCUGAACACAGAUCUGACCGCAGAUCUUCCUGCAGGAGAAUUGUGGA
This 229-nucleotide long non-coding RNA is filed under the name Marmota monax (woodchuck). The record is from RNAcentral. Lineage: Eukaryota; Metazoa; Chordata; Mammalia; Rodentia; Sciuridae.